Molecule: non-coding RNA, 467 nt
Organism: Alligator sinensis (Chinese alligator)
Lineage: Eukaryota; Metazoa; Chordata; Crocodylia; Alligatoridae
Source: the annotation of a RefSeq genome assembly
CUGGGUUCCUCAGUGUCGCCCCAGACCUGCCCCUUCCUACCUGCUGAGGACACUGGGCAUUAGCCAGAACAACCAUGAUGCCAGCACUGGCUCUGCUGUCCCUGCUGGCAGCCCCCCUCGGUGUCCUGUCCCAGAUCACAUUGAAAGAGUCUGGCCCUGGGGUGGUGAAGCCUGGAGAGACCCUCAGCCUGACCUGCACCGUGUCUGGAUUCUCUCUCACUAGCAGUGAUGUGAGCUGGGUUCGGCAGGCAGACGGAGAAGGGCUGCAGUGGGUUGGAGUUAUCUGGUAUGAUGGAAGCACUGGUUAUAACAGUGUUCUCAAAAGCCGCCUCACCAUCAGCAGAGACAUCUCCAGCAGCCAAGUGCACCUGCGUCUGACCGGGCUCCAGCCUGCAGACACAGCCCGGUAUUACUGUGCCAGGAACACAGUGAAUGAAAACCCAUGGGAGCCUGCACAAAAACCAUGA